Molecule: long non-coding RNA, 3454 nt
Filed under: Bemisia tabaci
Lineage: Eukaryota; Metazoa; Arthropoda; Insecta; Hemiptera; Aleyrodidae
Description: lncRNA ENSSSA3NGG010239
Source: RNAcentral
CGAAGAACCUCUUCUUGCAGAUAAUGGAUGUGUCCAACUAUUCCGAGCGCAAAUAGACUGAUGGCGUUACUCUCGGCCGCGUCGUCUUAAGGCUCAAUUACCAGUUGUGGUUCAGCGGCUCCGCGCGGAGCUCGAAUUUUAUUUUCGUGCGCCGCGAUCCUAGUUUCGCGCCAUGCGGCCCGCUCCAGUACUCCUCCGAUGACGGCCCUGCGUCCCAGUGCCUUCCAACUUCCAAAGUUUAAGUGACAAUGCCGCCGGCCAGUGUUAGUGCGUGACCAGUGUGUGAGUGCCACAGGCUAGGCGAAGCCUAGGAAAAAUGUACAGUGCUCUCGGAUGAAGAUGUCUCACAGAAUCGCGCUCCUAGUUUUCCUCAUACAGGUUUUCGCAGGCGGCACGGAUCUCUCGCAUGUGCUCGAUGCUUCGGAUCCCGCCCUCGGGCCGGGGAAAUUAGAGGGAGCAAUGACUCAGAUCAGGGUGGGAAUUUCCCCGACAGAGGGCGCAAGUUCAUGUUCAACGACACGGAACUCUGGACCAAGUUCAGUUUGGUCGUGCGCCCGGACCAAAGUCCGGGGGCGUCGCUGACGACGGAGAAAAACGGGUUGAUCUACACGACGAACCGGUCCCUCGGGGUCCCGACGCCUACCCCUUUGGCCAGUAAAUGGACCAAGGUCCACGUCACAUUGCCCCCGCGCAAGUCCACGCCGCCCUCCCUCGCGACGACCGUGACGUCCAUGACGUGGACGACGAGGCCCACCACGACGACGACGAUGAUGACGUUCGCGACGCAAAAGCCGGCGACGACCCUCUCGACUUUGGCGGCCUCGGUGACGAAUCGGUCGGUGUUGUUGCCGGAAACGCGGCGGAAGCCGGAGAAAAAGGAUCGGCAGGACGACAUUUUUUACGACGAUGAGGAUGAGGACGAAUAUGAGGACGAAGACGAGGAGGAGGAGGACGAGGAAGAGGAAGAACUCGAGGAAGCCGAGUUCGUAGAAGUCGAAAAAGUCGACUAUGAAAAUUAUUCAGAGGAGCCUCCUACAAUACUUAAGAAAAAGAAGAAGCGGAAACGGAAACGAGGGAAAAAGAAUUCGCUGAAGCUGAAAGACUUCAAGAAAUUAAAGAAAUUCAUGUUACCGUUACUUCUGGCAUAUAAGCUCAAAUUCUUCACACUUGUCCCACUGCUACUUGGAGGACUGGUGCUCAUCGUCGGGACCACAGGUUUCGCCGGAUUCUUCUUCGCCCUGUUUGCCGUUGGCCUUGGUCUUAAACACCACUAAUAGCACUGAACGUUGAAAAAAGAUGACCGCUGAUUGCAAGUGGAAGUCAACGUCAGGCAAACACAUUUGACUGCCAUAUUGAAAACUAGGACUUGCUGAGGCUCAGAGGCUUUCCAUCUCCAUCAAAAUCUCACUCACAUCCGUUUCGGCCGUAACGUCACAAGGAUCAAAGGAGGAAAAAUUCGCAAUAGAUUUGCAGAAUCAAAAUGUUUAACUUUAGGAAGUCAAAUAAUAUCGAAAGAAGAACGGUUAAAUUGAAUUAUGCACCUAUUCCUUAAGAAACGAUUCUUCAAAAUUAUAUUUAUGAAGCUAAUCUGUGCAAGAGCAUUUCAAAGUUGCCAAGAUUAAGUGACCCAUCAGUCAUUCAGACUCUCGUCAGGAACCACUCAUUAGGGAACGUUGAAAACAGUUGAGGAAAGCUAUGCAAAAAUGUUGAUUACCGACAGAUAAAGAUGUCACUCGUAAAAAAUUAGUCCUCACAUAUAAUUGUUAUUUAAAUUUGAAUAUACCCUGCAAGUUGUUUUCACACUCUUGAAAUAUGGUGUAAAAACUGUACCUUGAAAGUUAGGAAUGCCUUCAGUGUCAUAGUUAGAAUUUCAUGAACUUAUCAAUCCACCAUUAUGGCCAAGGUAUUCUUAUGUAUUUUUCAACCUUCAUCAAGGUCAACGGGUCAGUUGUGUUGGUCACAAAAUCGUGUUUUGAAGCUUGAUUCUUGCAGAUUAGCUAAAAAUAAUAAGAUCAGUCCAAACAGUAACUUUUUACGUUUAAUAUUAACCGAGAUAUCGCCCUUUGAAAAAACGGGUUUUCGACGUCAUCUACCGCAGGAGUGACACCCUUUUCUUCCACCUUGCUUUCAUUUGUUGGUGUGACGCUCAUUUGCACUGGUUAUUCAACGUAAAUCUUGGAUGAAAGUAAGAUGAAAGAAACCAAGGGUGUUACUCCCGCGGUUGAUAACCGGACUUUUUAAAGGGCGAUAUCUCGGUUAAAAUAUAACUAGGAAAGUUUCUAUGUGGACAGAUAUCAUAACUUUUAACUAAUCUACAAGAAUCAUGCAUCAAAACACGAUUCUGUGACCAGCGCACCUGACCGUUUGUCCUACGCAUUGGUUUUUUACGACUAAAACUGUAUGAAUCAACAGAAAAUAUUAAGCAGUGACGGCAAAAUGAUGUCACGUAAAUGUAUCAUAUAUUUCCUUGUAUACCUAAUCGUAAGAACAUAGAGAAAAUCUAAAUGACGUUUCCAGGAUUAUGAUGCAUUCGAAUCAGUACCACAGAUUCAAAAUGUGCGUAACUCAAAUUUUUAGAAAAAUUGAGUUUUUGACGUUUUCAAAAUCUCCAUCAACGGUCCCUUGCGUGUAAAGAAAUUGAUAGCCCCAGCUUCCGCUAGUUAUGAGAUACGGAGUUUCAAAUUUACAAUUUACAUUGGAAUCAAUGGGAUCGACGCGUGGUUUUCCCCUGAUAUCUCGAAACGACCAAAAUUAUGUUAGAUGCCUUUUGGCUCAUGGGUACUAAAAUUAAUUUAAACUUUAGGGUGUAUCUCUUGAAGCAAAGCAAUUCACAGGACGUAGAGAUUUAGACUCGUGAGUAAAUGUAUUAUCCCUAUUUGUGGGGACUGAUUUGAAUGAAAGCUUUAUCGCAGCUGAAGCUUCUAAUUUAUUAUACGAAUAUAUGUAAUUCAUUGAGAGUAAAUAUCUGUCUGAUGUCCUUUGGGUUUCAGUACUUUACGAAUAUAAGAUCACUCUGACUUUUGAUUCCAUUAGAAUGUGCCAAAAACUUGCUUGAGCUUUUUUGCGAAUUUUUCCACCUGAGGUUGGUCAUAUUGCGUUUUCAUUUCGGAAUUUGAAUAGAGAGAACUCAAAAGGCCAGUUUCACUUCUAAAAAAAACAUUAAUCCGAUGCCUUAAAGAAUAAAGAUUAGCAAAAUUCAAUGACCCUUGCUGAUUUGACGCUCUUCCUCCAUGAGUGACGGAAUGGGAUGUAUCACCGUUUGAAAAACAGGUUGGCGCGAGCGUCAUCCACAGAAGUAAUGCGCCUGGUCAUUAUCUCUUUCACGGUGGUGAUUAGUACGUACAAAAUGUGCACAAUAAAUACAUAAUUAAUCGAUAUAGAAACCAAAGAGGAAAAAAUCAUGGUGCGCUAUCACUAAGAGGUACGACAAUCGAAAAACAGGAAAAAGCGGAAA